CGCCGGGCCCGUUUUACAUCCCUACCCCUAUCUCUCUCUCCCUUUCUCUCUCUACCUAUCCCCACUUUCUCCUCUCUCUCUCCCCUACAACUGGCAUUUCUCUUAACCCACCUCCUCUCUUUCUCUCUUUGACGAUUCCUCUAUCUCUCUCACUAGCUCUCUCUCAACCCUUUUCCCCUCUCUCUCACUAACUCCCUCUCUCUCCAAAUGGCUCCCCCCACUCUCUCUUUAUUAUGCCCUUUCUCUCUCCCCUCUCUCUCCCAUCAAAACCCCUCUCCCAUCAAAAUCCCUCAUUUGCAAGGGAAUCGGGUUUCGGCUGCGGCGACGACAGCGGCAAUCACGGCGGCGGCGAUGGUUAGGCGGUCACGGCGACGACGACGUCUUGGGCGGCGACGGAGAGCGUCGUUGUCGACGUCGGUGUCGUCGUCGUAGAGAGGAGGCGGAGGAUGAGGAGGUGGUGGCGGACAGAGGAGGAGGAGGAAGAGGAGGAGGAGGAAGAGGAGAAGGAGAGGAAUGUAUCAUUGUUGCGAGGAGGUGGCAAUGAGGAGGGAGGAGAGAGACGAUGAGGGGGUUUUGGGUUUUUUAGAAUGUAGAAAUGUAGCUUGUUUUUUUAUUAUUAUUAUUAACUGGG
RNAcentral lists this long non-coding RNA (631 nucleotides) under Ananas comosus (pineapple). RNAcentral describes it as "long non-coding RNA (ACOM_LNC013218)". The record is from RNAcentral. Lineage: Eukaryota; Viridiplantae; Streptophyta; Magnoliopsida; Poales; Bromeliaceae.